GUUUGCAGUUCAUCUGCAAUUGAGGGAGGCUUGGCACCCUCAUAAAAGGUAAUCUAUUGCAAAGUGUUUUUUCCUAUUUCUGGGGAAUGGCAUCAGGGUACUCCUAUGACCAUGACCACUACAGCCCUGUUGCUAAAUUAAUUUACCACUGGAUACACUUACCAAGAUAAAAGAAAUAAUACAGAACUCAGAAUGGGUUAACCUCAGCCUGGUCUGCCCCUUUAUUGCACUGAACAGUACAGGGUUUUUUGUUGUUAAUUUUAUUAUUUAUUUUGCUUGCCCUAGUAGCGGUAUUUUGUAUAUUGCAAAUGCAUCUUUUGAAGCGCUGACACUACAGUGAUUGGGGAUAUUCCCCUUGUGCCCACAGGAACCUGUCAUCAGGGAAUCUGUCACAACAGGGCAGGAGAUCAAAUUUGGGAAGUUCCAUCUCUAACAACUGCUGUUGGAAGGGUUUAUUGUAAAGAGCAGUGGGAUCAUAUCCAAAUCAGUUAUAUUUUGUAUAUUUUGUUAUAGGCUGGUAUAUGCUGACAGUGCUUCUUAUCCAUUCUAUAUUAAUCAAUCAUAUAUUGCAUGAACUUUAUGAUCCCUGUACAUACUACAUGUUAAAUCCACAUUUGAUGAGGAUUACACUAAUCGAGCAGUACAGAUUCAGAGCGAGAUAAGGAGCAUGCUGUUUGUAUAUGAUAACUGUUAUUGUUUUAUGGCAGGAAAAUACUGGUAACAUGCCCUUGCAACUUACAUGUCAUUGUGUAUAAUUUAAAAAGGAAGAAUGAGAUUUUUGUUCAGUAUACAAAAAAAAAAAUACUGUUUGCUAUUAACAAUAUUGGAAAUGUAUUCAAAUUGUAUUCUGUUUUUGUAUCACAUUAGUUGUCUAGGUUGAAAAAAGUCCAUCAAGUUCAACCUUGGAAGCCAUUAUUUUAUAUUGUUAAUCCAAAAGAAGGCAAAAAACCCAAUUGUAGCCAUUUCCAAUUAUGCCACAAAAAGGAAACAUCCUUCUUGACUCCAUAAUGGCAACCAGAUUUAUCCUUGGAUCAGCCACCUGUUUACAUUAAUAUCACUUGUAUCAUUGAAUAUUCCGUUUAUGCAAAAAAGUAUGUGCACAUAUAUAUAUUUUUUAAUAUCUAUAGAAUCUGAUAAGAUAACCUCUUUAGGCAGAUAACUCCACAUCUUUAUUGUUCUUACUGUGAAAAAAACUUUCCUCUACUGUAAGUGGAAGCACCUUCUUCUAGUCUCAAUAGGUGAUUAGUGAUGUCCUGAACAGUUCGCCGAACGGUUCGCGAACGGUCCGUGGCGAACCGUUCGGCGAACCGUGUCUGUUGUAUAUUCCUGCUAAUGAACAGGUUAGCACAUAGCAGUUUGUAUUGACCCUGUAUAUGUUGAUCCAAACCAGUAUUGUCCAUAUUUAUUUGGACCUAUUCAGUUUGUUUGUUUGUUUCUUGUCAACUCUACAAAUACUGAAUUAAAGAAAUGGAUGAGGAAAUUGGCCAAUUGCUAGCAUGCUAAACAAGUAGAGAGACAAUAUUAUCCCCUUCCUCCCCAUGGAGUGUAGGUUUCUUUUAAAUUGUAAUUGUCACAUGUGCUAUUUUUCCCACAAAAGUCGGUUAUGGAUUAAGCUACUUUACUUGUUCUUUUUUUUUUUUUUAAACUAUCAACAUAUUUUAUUUAUUUUUUUAUUUGCAUUUCGAUCAAAAUACGCACAUAGAACAGUAAGUAGUAAAGUGUAUAGAAAGUACAGUGUGUAUUUAACAUCACUUCUAAGUACAAAGAGUGUUGGAAUACAAUUAUAGAGUAUUUUGAAUGUAGACGAAAUACAUAACAUGAUAAAACAACUGUGCCUCUAAGAUGGAAAAUCCACUAAUGAGCACUUCACCAACCAAGAAGGUGCAAUGAAUGAGUAGUCAUUGUCAAGAGUUGUGUCAUUAUACCUACAUCUCAUAUGAUGAAUGUAAACAGAUUGCUAGGUGCUGGUAAAGCAUGGGAUUGCAGACUCUGCAUACAUGAACAACAUGCAGACACCAUAAAAAUCUCAGCUGGUAACCCCCAAGCACCACUUGUAAAAUUUGGAUUCUUCAUAUAUGACACUUAUGACUUACGUUAUAUGAUUUCUGUUUUAUGCUUUAUGUUUUAAGUUUUAUUACUCCUAUUCGAACUACUAGUUAGAUCAGUCUGUCUUUUUUUUUUUUUUCAAUGUGUUUUAUUUUCAUUUUAAAUUGUUCACGAAGGAACAAAGGAGGGGAGAAAAAAACAAAAAACAAAGCAAUAAUGUGGGUACAGAAAGAAAGAGGGGAAGGGGGAGACAGCUUACAUAACUUACAUCAAUCUUUACAAAUGCGUCGAUACACACUUUGUUAACAGGUUAAGAUAAAAGUGACAGUUGGCAUUUUGUCCAAUAUGUUACAUAGCAAUAAUAAUGAUACAGAUAAACAGUUUUUAUGCAGUUUUAUGCAGUUUUAUGCUGGGACCUGUUCCCUGGUGCUAGCUUGGUGCCUUUAGCCCUAACUGGGUAGGGGGGAAAGGUGGAGGGGAGUGGGGCGACGAUGGUGCUUCAUGCCAUAGAAACCGUCUUGGUGGGACGUAUUGUGCUCGAUUACUCAACGCAGGAGGUAGCCUUGGAGAUGCAAUGUAUGGCCUACAGCCCCUAUUGGGACACUCCAUAUCUAUAUUCCACCCAUCUGUGCCACCGUGUCUCGUGUCUGCUUUGACUAGCGUUUAGUCGGCUAGCCAUGCGUUCAUAUGUAUGUGUCGAGUCUAUUCUACCUAGGAUCUCUGGUAGUGUUGGAGCCAGUGUGGUCUUCCAACGGUGGGCAAUUGCAGUUUUGGUAGCCAUUAAACAGUGAAUCUUUAGGUAACUCUUAUCUUCAGGGAGGGUGUCUGGGAAGAUAUGUAAUAGAAAGCAUUCUGGGGUCAUUGGUACCUUUAUUCCCAGGUUUUUAUAAAGAAGUGUUUGUAUAUCCCGCCACAACGUAGUGAUCUGUGUGCAUGUCCAGAAUAUAUGGUAGAGGGACCCCUCUUGAUUGUGACAUCUCCAACAUUGUUUGUUUGACCCUGGGUAAAUAUGUGCCAGUUUGGUAGGGACUAGGUACCAGCGCAUCGUUGGUUUACAGAACGUUUCCCAUUGGUUAAGACUAUGGGAGGCCUGUUUUGUUUUCUUUUGAGCGUGAUGCCAUGUUGCUAUUGGGAAUUGCGUCCCUAUCUCCGAUUCCCAUUUAGUCAUAUACGAGGGUUUUGUUAUUUUAUUUUGAAGUAGGAGUGUAUUGUAGCAUAGGGACAUUGCUUUUAUUUUAGGUAGUUUACCCAUGCAUUUGUGGAUAAAUGGUGGUAAGAGAUUGGGUUCCUUCAGGCUAAUCCUGCACUCCUGUAUUAUAUUUCUUAUUCUAGAUAAGAGAAUAAUUCCCGUGGAGGGAUAUGGUAUUCCCUGAUUAAGUCUGGGAAUGGUUUGAUGCCUUCUGAGGUCAGUAAGGAGCGUACAUGAUAGACCCCUUGUUUAAGCCAGUUGUCUAGUUGCAUGUUUGUCGUUCGAGCAGCCAGGGCCUUAAGUGGCGCUGCAAGGAGCAGGUCAUUUUCUCAUAAAAAUAGUGGGGUAGCUUGCUUCCAAGUUUGGAGCAGCGAUUCCGUGGCAGGUAGCAAAGUUUUGGACUUGGGGAGUUUUGUUCCUGCCCAAAGGAUCAGAGGAAUCGUGCCAGUGGGUAAGCAAGCGUUCUCUAACGCUAGCCAUACUGGAGGAGAUGACCGCUCAAGGAUUGUAAGGCCUUGUGCCAACAAUGCCGCUUUGUAGUAUAGUUUUAUAUUAGGUAUGCCCAGCCUUCCUUUUGUGAACGGUCGCCAAAGUGAAUUUUGCGCUAUUCUUAGGGGUUUCCGUUUCCAAAUGUGUGCAUUAAUUAUAGCCUGAAAGUUCUUUAGAAUUGGGUUUGGGAUUGUAAUGGGUAGGGUGCGGAAUAAGUUUAAGAUAUGUGGUAAAAUCAUCAUUUUUAUGGUGUGGAUUCGCCCCAGCCAGGAAAUCUCUUUAUCCUCCCAGGUCUUAAGUUGUUGUUCCAGUCUGUGAAUAAGCGGUAUAUGGUUUUCCCAUAUUAUCGCCGAGUGCAUUGCUGGCAAUUUUCUGCCCAGAUAGGAGAUGGAGGUGUUCCGCCACUCAAAUGGGUACAAUGUUUUCAGGUGUGAUAGAGAGGCAUGUGUCAGCCCCAUCGCCAGCGCUUGUGUUUUUUUGUCGUUGUUGUUAUAGUAAGACAUCCUCCCGUAAUUCCCUAAUAGAGCUAGCAAGUUUGGUAAAGACUUCUCCGGGUGUGUUAAAAAUAGGAGAACAUCAUCCGCGAAGAGGGUUCCAUACAUAAAAUAAAGAUUAAUGGAGAGAGAGGACACCCCUGCCUGGAACCGUUUAUUUGAAAAGGUUGGGAUAAAAACCCAGAGUUAAAUAUUCUGGCUGCCGGUUUGGAGUAGAGGGCCAUUAUGCCUUUCAGGAAUUCCGGGGGGAUGCCCAUAGAUGUCAAUACAGCCCUCAUGUAUGCCCAAUUUAAGCGAUCAAACGCUUUUUCUGCGUCUAGGGCUAACAGUACGCCUCUCUGGUUAGUUUUCUGAGCCCAUGUGAUUAAGUUCAAGAAGUGUUGUGUAUUAUCCCCAGGCUGCCUGUUCGGAACAAAACCUGCCUGUUCUGGAGAGACCAAAUCUUGUAGGAAGGGUUGGAGACGUGUAGCUAGUAAUUUGGCAUAUAAUUUUGUGUCUGCAUUCAGCAGUGAGAUGGGUCUCAGGUUAGCACAUUCAGUGGGAGGUUUGCCAGGUUUAGGGAGUGUAACAAUAUGGGCUAGCAGCAUCUCCUCCGGCAUGGAUUCUGAGUCCCUAAAGGAGUUAAAAAGGUCUGUGAGGUAUGGUGUGAGCUGUGCCUCGAAUGUGGAGUAAAAGUGUUAGGGAACCCAUCCGGGCCCGGGGAUUUAUGUUUGGGUAAUUUGUGUAUUGCGUUUCGUACUUCUUUUUCUGUGAAUUUAGCUGACAGUAUCGAGCUUUGUUGGGUGGUCAGGCGUGGCAAUUGCACCUCUUUCAGAAAGAUGUCUAUUUCCGACUUUAGUGGUUGGUGUAGUGUUUUGUCCUGUGUAAGAUUGUAUAGACCAGUGUAGAAAUUCACCAAUUCGUUCACUAUGUCUUGUGGGUUAAAUAGUUUUGACCCUGUGGCUGAUGUCAUAUAUGGGAGUUUGGAUUGUAUGUAUCGGGAUUUUAGACGUUUUGCGAGCAAUUUGCCUGCCUUGUUUCCUUGCAUGUAGUAGGAGAGUUUCAACUUGCGAAGCUGCCUUUCCAUAUUUAUCAGGGACAGUGCAUGUAGCCUUUCUCUUAUCUUUUCAAUUUGUUGGGAUAAGGUUCUAGUUGGUUUUAGUUUGUUGUCCCUGUCUAAUGUUUUGAGUUGUGAGAGCAGUUUAUCUGUUUCGUUGUAAAUCUUCUGCUUAUUUAUCACUCCUGCUUGGAUUAGAAGGCCUCUUAGUACGGCUUUGAGGGCCAGCCAUUUAGUGUCUAUGCGUGAGGGAUCCGUUUGGUGGAUCUCAUAGAAUGAUGUUAUGUUUGCGCGAAUUUUGGCGGCUGUGUUCACGUUAUAUAUGAGGGAUUCGUUCAGGCGCCAUGCACUGCGCCCUCGAGCUGGGUACAUGGCUCUGAACGUAGUGAUUACUGGCGCAUGGUCAGACCAUGUCCUGUCACCUAUUUGCACUUCUAUAACAUUUGGUAUUGUGUUCUUAUCUACCCAACACGUGUCUAUACGAGUGUAAGUGUGGUGUACCCGUGAGAAAUAGGUGUAGUUUUUCUCCUUCGGGUAAAGAGUGCGCCAUGUGUCAUAGAAAUCAUACGUAUGAAGCAGUGUGCUAAGAGUAGCGCUUAUAGUGCUGGCUUGCUGUAAAGGGUGUUUACUCUCGAUACGCUUGAUGUCUAGUUCGGGGUCUAAUGUGCAAUUUAGGUCUCCACAGAUUAUAGUGUGUCCCACACGGAGGCUGGUAAUCUUAUUUAACGCCCUUUUUAUGAAGGAUGUUUGGGAAUUGUUAGGUGCAUAUAUGGAUGCAAUCGUGAGUUGCAUUCCGUUCAGUGAGCCCACCACUACGAGGAGCCUGCCUUGCUCAUCUACAUAUGUUUUGUCGGGUUGGAAUACCCAGACAUGGAACAGUAUUGCUACCCCUUUUGUUUUGUUUGAUGAAAGGGCGUGGAACACCUGUUGGUCUCUAGAGGACAUUAAUUUGGGAGGAUUUCUCUUACACAUGUGUGUCUCUUGGAGACAUACUAUGGCUGCCUGAGAAUUGUGCAUAGCUUUAAUCAUAGAACUUCUUUUGAAUGAACUGUUCAGGCCAUUUACGUUCAUGGAUAAACAUUUAAAUUGGUACGUCAUUUUUAAUGUACAAGUUUUCGGGGCCUUACAUCUAAUAGAGAACACUUUUCUUUAGCGUGUAUGGUCCCUAUGAUAAACUGAGGUGCAGUGUGAAACUGAUUGUGCCCUGGUGCCUGACAACAUCUUGUAUAUUUAUAGGUUGUUGCAGCUGCCGGGGUGUUGGAUAGGGGGUUAACAGGGUUAAAACAUGGGAUACAGAGAUUAAAAAAAACAAGUAUAUACAAUAUCUCUCUAACUUGAGAGUAUAGCAUGGGAUACAAAGGGGAGCCUUGGAGCUCCAUGUCCCUUGUAGUUCCCUAUGGGGGGUCGUGCGGAACAGGACCGCACCCGGGCCAGAUUCUGUUAAUAGACAACUCUGGUAUGGGUAGAUGUCAGGGGUAGUUAUGGACAUAGACAACAGUCCCACCUUUGUCAAAUACGGUCCGAGAAGGCAGUAUAAAAGGACAUGGUCAGAAUUCUUAGGGUGCUGCGUCAGGGGUAUUUUUUUAAAAUGUAUUUAUUUAUUUUUGUCUUUUAUAUAUUUGCAAGCAUUGCUCGAAUCUUUAUCUCCAACCCAUGGGAAAAGUCCCAACUAUUCUAGUGCUACGUGGCGUUAGUGAGGGGGCAGGCGAGGGCCCCGCCUGUGGUAUGUGUUGGAAGUUUAGCUGUGGUAAGAAGGUUAUCGGUAUCGUUUGAGCCCAACAUUAGUAACAGUACAUUUUAUCUUAGUGCGGGGACGUUAUCUAACCCCCAAUGGCAUUUGCAGUUUAUGUAUAAUAUACAGUUCCUAACCGGCUACAUUUUUGGUAGGCAAAUGCGUAAUAACUCCGGUUAGAGCUAAGCAUGUAACACAUCAUUUUUGGGACCAACGUCUGUGCAUGCCAGGUCUGUAAAUAACAGCAUGGGGGAAGCGUGGGCGUCUAGAGAGUGGCGAUCAAGGGGUGGACAAGGCUGGGACAUCCAUGCUUAGGAUGUAAAUGGGUUUUUUUUGUCUUUUUUCCUUACCCCCUUUCAGUCCCGAUAAACUAUUGCACUGAUGUGGGCCCCCGAUACAAUACCACUCUUGUCAGCUGGGGUCGUCGACCAUCAUCACUGCGGUAGCGUGUAGGCUUGGGUUGUGGUGUAAAAUUUUCAAGAACCAGUCCGUGGACAAUUUAGCUACUGUCCCGAGCGGGUGCAGCUUCGGUCAGUUAAGAUGUCUUCGUGCGACGUUGUAGAACUUGUUGUCAUGUGGAUCCAGGGGGAUGUUGUCUUUGUCAAUGUCUUUCUUAGUGUUGUAGGCCAACCAUCUGCCAUUCAGGCCCGAUCUUCUUCGGGGUGGCCGCAGCAUCCGUUGUUGACUGAACUUUUUCAGGUGCGUUCCAUAGGCCCCAGUGCUUCAGUGUGGAUAGACCUCCUAUUGGGUCGUCUAUGAUGUGGAGCUUGUUGUUCCUCCAUAUUAUUAAUUUUGUGGGGAACCCCCAAGCUUGAUCAUGGUUGCGUAAAGUCUUGGUGAUAGAGGAGAAUUCCUUCUGUCUCGCCAUUGUAAGGGCCGAGAGGUCGGUGUAUAUAGAGAUGGUGCUGUAUGGUUCGGGCAGUGGUGACUUAGCCCUGGCUGCUUUGAGAAGUGCUUCUUUGGCUUUAAAGUAAUGGAAGCGAGCGAUAAUGUCGCGUGGGACUUCCGCUCCGAACCUGGAUGGCUUAGGUAUGCGGUGGGCCCUGUCCAGUUCCCAAGUGAUACCGGAUAAAUCAGGGGCCAAUGUAGCGCUUAAAGCUGUUAUAAAUGUGGGGAUCUGGUCUGUUGUGACGGAUUCCGCGACCCCCCGAAAUGUUACAUUGUUUCGGCGGGAUCGGUCCUCCGUGUCCGCCAUCUUGUGCCACAAUUUUGUGUUGUCGUCUUCCAAUUUCUGUAGCUUGUCAGCCAUUAAAUUAUGCGCUGAGCAGAGGUCUUCUGUUUUUUGUUCGACCUGGUCUGUGCGGUCUCCUAAAUCCUCCAAUUCCUGAUGUAUACCCAAUAUGGCUGUAGUAAAAUCCUCUUUAAUUGUAGCUCUGAGGUCCAUGAGCAUUUGUUUUAAAUAAUCUUUCGAUAUUUGGCUGUCAUCCACUGUUAACUGUGAGGGCAUCUCAUUAUAGGCGUCAGGCUCCAGAGACUGAGCUCUGCUAGCGGUGCCAUCUUGGGCCUGUUUCUGCCGUUCUUUUUUGUGGUGUCGGACCGCGUCCGUUAGUUUUGUUUGCUUCGAGGGUGACAUAGGGACACUCUUGAACUUCACCUCCCACUUGAUUUUGAGUUUUUUGAGCUCUUUGGUAGAUAAUCUGGCCCGGGUGGUGCGGAGCUCCUACUCCAUGCGACCGAUCUUGCCGGAAGUUGGACACGCCCCAGAUCAGUCUGUCUUAAUGUCUAAUUAUGCCUGCCUACUCGACUGAAAUAUGGCCUGACUAGGCAUGUGCCUGGGGAAAGUAUUCGGCUCGGUUCGGCAUUCGUCAAUUCGGGACUUCGUCAAUUCGGGACUUCGUCAAUUCGGCACUUCAGCAACUUCGGAACUUCGGCAACUUCGGAACUUCGCCACUUCAGAACUUCGCCACUUCAGCACUUCGGAACCUCGCUACUUCGGAACUUCGGCACUUCUCUUGCAGCCACUUGAUAGAUAACUCCCUAAUUCCCACGGUAUUAGGGAGUUAUCUACCAAAAGGCUGAAAGACCAAUUUAGGUCUUAAUUACUUAGUAUUAGUAAAUUUUGCCCCUUACUCGCUAUACCGAGUUGGUUAUUAUGGAUUAAUUGUGUCGGUUAUUAUGGAUUUUUAUUUGGCCUUUUUUGCGGCUGAAAAAAGAUUUUAGAAGAAAGAAAACAUCAAAUGGUAAGUUUAUUUUUAUUUAUACAGUUAAAUUUGUAUUUAGGGUCCCCACCCGCCGCUCAGGGGUGAGGGCAGGGGGAGGACAUUAGGUCCCCCUCCCCCAAUUUGUAUAUGGGCCCCCACCCACCGCUCAGGGGUGGGGGUCAGGGGGGAGGAGAAUAGGUCCUCCCCCCUUUUUUCACUUUAGGGCCCCCAACCGCCUCUCAAGGGUGGGGGCCGGGGGUGGGGGGGCAAUAGGUCCCCCCCAUUAUUUUACUUUAGGGCCCCCACCUGCUACUCGGGGGGGGACAAUUGGUCCCCCCUUUAGUUUAAAAGCCCCCACUCGCACGUUGUGGGUGGGGGCUCAGGAGGGGGGACCUUUUCUUUUUCUUUUUUUUUUUUAACAGUGAGCAGCCAUUACUUGAUUGUUGUAAGUAUUGCAAAUGCUUGCAGCUGAAUCCUGGCUAUGUUUGUAUACUUUUUUUUUUUAAAUUGUAUACAAUGUAACGUUCUUCUUCUUUCACUGGGUAAGUAUAUUAGUACUUAGGCAAUACUGUGCUUCGGAACUUCGGAACUUCAGCACUUUGACACCUCGGAACUUCGGCAACUUCGGCACUUCGGCACUACUACACUUCGGAAAUUCGGUAAUUUUGGCACUUCGUGACUUCAGGACUUCGACAAUUCAGCACUAGGGCAAUUCAGCUUUUCGGAAGCACCCGAAUGUCUGAAUUGCCCGAAAUUUGGCCGAAUUUUCAUUUGGAGCGAAACUAAUUGCACAUGUCUAGGCCUGACUAUCUUAUAGUACGUUAAAAUAAGGCUCCUAAGCCAAAGGAGUUAAUUUCCUUUGGCUUUUUAAUAAUAAAACAUCCAUGUUCUAGCAAAUGUUCAUGCUUAGACACUAUUGUAUGCCUAUAAUUACUAUUUUUCCUGUUGUGUACUUUUUACUUGCCUCAAAAAAAAAAACAAUUGACAAAAAAAAAUAAAAAAAUAGUAGACUAGCACACAAGUAGGUGCAAUAAGCCAAGCUGCAUGUAGAAGAAUAGAAGGUAGUGAAGGUCCAAAAUUUAUAGUCUAAGGAGAGUGAGGUAUAAUUUUUCCAAUAAUAAAGGGAAAAUGUAUUUCAUACCUUGCAAAAAUUGGUUGCUAGGAGAAUUUACAGUAAAAAUAGAUCUAAAAGGACAACUGUCACCUCAAAAACUAUUUUUAAUAUAAUAACCCUUUCGUCAGGUUUUGAAAGGAAUUUUUUUUUUUUAAAUUGAAGUAUAUGUAUAAAAAAUUAAUAGAAAAACUAAUUCUUACGUUUAGUAUAUAACAGAAUCUUUCAGCCAUAUACAUGUACCUUGGGUUUGAAAACCAACAGUUAGUCUCUAUGGUUUCUCUGCUUCAAUCCCUGCACAGAAACAGGGAAGACCACAGAGACUGUCAUUAUUUAAAGGGACACUAUAGUCACCAGAACAACUACAGCUUAUUGCAUUUGUUCUGGUGAGUAGAACCAUUCCCUUCCGGCUUUUUGCUGUAAACACUGUCUUUUCAGAGAAAAUGCAGUGUUUACAUUACAGCUUAGUGAUAACUUCACUGGCCACUCCUCAUGGCUGCUAGAGUUGCUUUCUGGGGCACUGAUACACAGUGUGCAGCACUGCCAUUCAGUGUCUCCACCCUCUGCUUGCAGACACUGGACUUUCCUUAUAGAGAUGCACUGAUUCAAUUUAUCUCUAUGCAGGGGCGGACUGAGCACUCGGGCAAAUCGGUCAUGGACCGAGGGCCCGAGGCUCUGGGGGGCCCGCCCCUGCUGCAGUGCAGUAAUGGCUGAGCUGGGGAGUAAAACAAUCUCCCCAGCCAGCCUGCACUCAGUAAGGGGCCCGCACAGCCUUCCGCGGGCCCCUGCUGCUAAAAAUAUAAUCCCCCUUGCAGGGCACACUGAGGGACAGCUAAGGGGCCUUCCAAAGACCCCGCUAGGCUGCCCUCAGUGUGCCUGUCUCACUGAACACAGCCUCACUGAGCUGCCUGUAACUGCUCAGGGUAGCUCCGUGCAGCUUGUUCUGCAGGAAGUGACAUCAGCAGUCACAGUGCAGAGUGAGGAGCUGCCCUGAGCAGAGUUACAGGCAGCAUGUCAGCAUUGUGUGCCCUCCUUCAGAAGAGGACCACCAGAGAGGUAAGGUUUGGGAGGGGGGCUUUAUUUUUUUUUUUUAAAUUAAAAUGUUUUAUUAUAUAAUUUCCCCCACUACUGCCCCAUCAGAGCCCAUACCCCCCUUACUCCCAGUGCAUCCCCUACCUCCCUGCUCCCACUGCAUCCCCUACCCCCCUCCCACUGCAACCCCUACCCCCCACUGCAUCUUCUACCCCACUGCAUCUUCUACCCUGUAUCUCUAUAUAUACCUCGCAUCCCCUACCCCCCCAAUGCAUCCCCUCUACCCCUUGCUCCCACUGCAUCCCUACCCUCCCACUGCAUCCCUACCUCCCUGCUCCCACUGCAUCCCUCCCUCCCACUGCAACCCCUACCCCACCACCUCCACUCCCCCAAGAUCCCCUACCCCAAUGCAUCCCCUACCCCCCUGCUCCCACUGCAUCCCCACCCCCCUUGCUCCCACUGCAUCCCUCCCCACCCUCCCACUGCAUCCCUAGCCCCCUCCCACUGCAUCCCCUACCCCCUUGCCCCAGUGCAUCCCUCCCACUGCAUCCCUACCCUCCCACUGCAUCCCCUGCCCCCACCUCCCAUCCCCCUUGCUCCCACUGUGCCCCCUGUACUCCCCCCGCCCCACUGCACCCCCUGCUCGGCCCCCAGUGCAUCCCUGCACUCCCUGCUCCCAGUGCAUCCCUGCACUCCCCUGCUCCCAGUGCAUCCCGUACACCCUGCUCCCACUGCAUCCCCUACCCCCCACUGCAUCCCCUACCACCCUGCUCCUAGUGCAUCCCCUACCCCCCUGCUCCUAGUGCAUCCCCUACCUCCCUGCUCCCACUGCAGCUUUUACCUGCUGCUCCCACUGCAGCUCCUACCCCCUGCACUGUGCGCAAUAGUAGGGUUUCGCUUUUGGUAGUGGCUAGUGGGCUACCCAACUGCUCCCACUGCAUCUCUACCCAACUGCUCCCACUGCAUCUCCUAUUACCCUUUGCACCCACUACAGUCUGUCCCUCCUCUGCACCUACUACAGCCUCUAAUCCACCCUAUUCCCCCGUAUCCUCUACAGUCCCUCCCCUGCAGCCCCUUCCACUCGCACCCUUUACAGCCCCUUCCUUUCGGCACCCUCUGCAGUCCCUACCCCUUUGCACACACAAACAUAAAGGGACACUAUAGUUACCAGAACAACUACAGCUUAAUUUAUAUUAUACAGCUUAAUGUAUAGUAACAGCUUAAUGUUUAUUAUAUAGCUUAAUGUAGUUGUUCUGGUGAGGAUAGUAUACUACUGCAGGGUUUUUGCUGUAAAGACUGCCUUUUUUAGAGAAAAUGCAGUGUUUACAUUGCUUCCUAGGAACACCUAGGCGCUUCCUGUGUCAGUAUUGCAAAAUGUGCAGCACUGACAUUCAGCAUCUCCAUGAUCUGCAUGUCGACGCUGAACGCUUGUCAUAGAGAAGCACUGAUUCAAUGCAUCUCUAUGAUGGUGAUUGGCACAGCGUUUUGCUGCGCGUGCACAAUAGCCUUCUAGUGCUUUCCUAUGGAAGAGCAUAGGGUUGGCUGAGAUCAUCUAAAUUGAUGAACUCUGCCAAGGAGUUUGGUCGGUGCUGGGAAACAGGUGAGUAAAUCGCAUUUUUAAGGGGGGGAAUACACAUUUGUAUUCCUGACACUAUAGUGUUCCUUUAAAGGGACACUCCAGGCACCCAGACCACUUCUGCCCAUUGGAGUGGUCUGGGUGCCAACUCCCACUACCCUUAACCCUGCAAGUGUAGUCAUUGCAGUUUUUAUAAACUGCAAUAAUUACCUUGCAGGGUUAACUCUUUCUCUAGUGGCUGUAUACUAGACAGCCACCAGAGGGCACUUCCUGGUCUAUAGCACAGGAUUUCUGUGCUAUAGUGUCGCUGGACGUCCUCACGCUGUGUGAGGACCUCCAGCGUCGCUAAAAUUCCCAUAGGAAAGCAUUGAAAAGCAUUUUCAAUGCUUUCCUAUGCAGAGGUCUAAUGCGCCUGCGCGGCAUUGCCGCGCAUGCGUAUUAGGUCUCCCCCGACGGCUGACGUGAUGAAGGGGAGGAGCAUGAGCGGAGGAAGAAGCAGCGACGUGGGACAUGUCGCUGUCUCUGGUAAGUCACUGAAGGGGUUUUCACCCCUUCAGCAACCGGGGAUGGAAGGUGGGAGGGAGAGGGGACCUGCAGUGCCAGGAAAACGGAUUGUUUUCCUGGCACUGGAGAGUCCCUUUAAGGUGGCUCGUAACAUUUAACACUUGGUUUCACAAAUACCCCCUUUUACAUACUGCCAUGCUACACAAACACACACAAAAAAAUACUACCCUAUUCACAAAACCAAAAACAUGUAUUCAAAUAUACUAAUCAUCCACAUAUCCUGACACUACACAUAAAGACAUACAUAUAUUCACUUACCCUAGUGCUCACAGUGAAUAUACACACAGAAACAUGCAUUCACUUUACAUGUACAUACAAUCAAAUAUACGGUACACCUAUACCAGCAUAUAUAUCGGUCUGCUGGGGGCCCAGGUGCUAAUUUUGCCCGGGGGCCCAGGCCACUGUCAGUCCGUCCCUGUCUCUAUGAGGACCAGGGCUGUGUUUGACUUAGUGUCUGUAUAUAAAUAGUCAUAUGAGUUUGUUAGCUCUCACGUGGAUGCCCUGAGCAGGCUAAAUACUGAGCCAUGGGGAGCAGAAAAUAACUGUCAAAAGACCUACGUAACAAGGUAAUGGAACAUUAUAAAGAUGGAAAAGGAUAUAAAAAGAUAUGUAAAGCAAGUACUGCUCAAUCAAUCACUUAUUAAGAAGUGGAAAAUUUGGGGAUCUCUUGAUACCAAGCCAAGGACAGGUAGACCAACAAAGAUUUCUGCCAUAAAUGCCAGAAGAAUUGUUCGGUAUACAAAGAAAACCCCACAAAUAACCUCAGGAGAAAUACAGGUUGCAUUGGAAAACGAUUGUAUGGUUGUUUCAGGGAGCACAAUACGAAAUAUACUGCAUCAAUGCCACAAAAAAGCCGGUUACAAUAUGCCUGACAACACCUUGACAUGCCUCACAGCUUCUGCCACACUGUAAUUUGGAAUGACGAGACCAAAAUAGAGCUUUAUGGUCACAACCAUAAGCACUAUGUUUGGAAGGCUGAUAGUGAAAAGAAUACUGUCCCUACUGAUGUUUUGGGGUGUUUGAUCUCUAAAAGCACGGGGGAAAAUUGAUGGCAAGAUGAAUGCAGCAUGUUAUCAGAAAAUACUGGCAGACAAUUUGCAUUCUUCUGCACAAAGGCUGCGCAUGGGACGCUCUUGGACUUUCCAGCAUGACAAUGACCCAAAUGGUCUUGAGUAAGUCCUGUGAACAGGAUGAAAUGCGUAGAUGCAGUGCGUUUCUCCUUUCUGUUAUCUAUAUUGAUUGUUGCUGAUAUCCAUCAAGUAUAUCUACAGUUUACUGCCUGUGUGACUGGCUUCAUUGAGAUCAUAUGUGUUCUACCAUUCAUCAACAAGUCAAGCAGUUUUUUUUAUUACCACAUUUCGAUCUUAGAAUAGCUGUUUCUAUUUUUGAAUCAUCUGGAUCGUCACCUCGGUUUUUUGGGCCCUCUAACCCCACCCGAGGUCAGGUACUUUUACAUCUGUUAUAUCAGCAGGUACCUUUUGAACUUUGGGAUUUUUAAUUUUUUUGUACCUUUUUAUUACACUUUUUUAUACUUUUCAAUAUUAAUGUUGUUUUUGUAUAUUUAUUUGGUAAUUUUUCUCUUAGAGAGGGGUAUUUAUCCAGUAUCUUACAUUACCUACAGUUUUUAUACAAUUUACAUGCAAUGUUAUUAAAAGGGGGUCUCACUAAGAUUUGCAACAUUUAGUUGUUCAACCCCCUUUGUGUUCACAUCUACUUUCCCUUUGGACUGCAACAUGCUGCUUCUGUAUUAAUUGAAACUGUUGCAGUUUUUGGGAAGUAUAUGUUAUUAACCCCUUAACGCCGUUACGGCGUUCUAUGCCGUCGCGGCUUUAAAGGGCUUUAAAGCCAUUGCGGCGGCACAGAACGGCUUAAGCCCCCAGAGGACUCACCUCCGCCGCGAUCCUCUUCUGGAGGGCUGCCUGACCGCCCAGGCAGCCCUCCUCCGGCAAAUGAGGCCCCCGGGAGCCAUGUGAUCGCUCUCAAAGAGCGAUCACAUGGCCCCCUAUAGCUGGCUGUGGAUCUGCCAGCAGGGGGGCUGUCUGAAAUAUCAGACAGUCCCCCUGCUGGUGGGAAAUGUAAAAAAAAAAAAUUAGAAGUGUAAAAAUAAAUUCAAUAUAUUUAUAUAUAUAUAUAUAUAUAUAUAUAUGUAUAUAUAUAUAAUAUAUAUACAUAUUAUAUAUUUAUAACGUCAUACGUUGUGUAUUUUAAUACUAAUAUUAGUAUAUAUAUUAGUAUUAAAAUACACUUAGAAUGACAUUACAUAUAUAUAAUAUGUAUAUAUAUUAUAUAUAUAAUAUAUAUAUACACAUAUAUUAUAUAUAUAUAUAUAUACGUAUAAUUACAAUAAUAAAUAAAUAAAAUAAUAAAAUAAAUACAUAAAAUAUUGAAACAAAAUUUUAUUAAAAUUAUAUAUUCAUAUGUAAUUUCAUUCUAACUGUAUUUUGUUAUUAAUAUAUAUAUAUAGGUAACAAAAUACACUUAGAAUGACAUUCCAUAUAUAUCUAUCUACAUAUAAAAUACAAAUAACCGCAAAUAUAUAUAUAGAUAAAUACAUAUAAUUACAUAAAAGAUUACAUAAGUAUACACGUAGAAUUUAAAUACCUAUAAAUGCAUAUAUAUUAAAAUUCUACGUGUAUAUUUAAGUACUCUUUUAACAUAAUUAUGUGAUUUGAUUAAUUAAAAUUUGAUUGACAUGCCUGACAACACAGGGAGAAAGUGCAGAGAAUUUAAUUCGCAAGCACUAUAUUUGACCCUGUAACUCUCCAAAACACCAUAAAACUUGUACAUAGGGGGUAAUGUUUUACUCGGGAGACUUCGCUGAACUCAAAUAUUAGUGUUUCAAACUGGUAAAUUUUAUUACAACGAUGAUAUUUUAAGUAAAAGUGCAGUUUUUUGCAUUUUUUACAAACAAACUGCACUUUUAUGGACUAUAUUAUUGUUGUAAUAUGUUUUACUGUUUUAAAACACUAAUAUUUGUGUUUAGUGAAGUCUCCCGAGAAUAACAAUACCCCCAUGUACAGGUUUUAUUGUGUUUUAGAAAGUUAGAGAGUCACAUAUAAGGCUUGCAUUUCAUUUUUUUUUACAUUGAAAUUUGCCAGAUUGAUUAUGUUGCCUUUGAGACCGUAUGGUAGUCCAGGGAUAAGAAUUACCCCGAUGAUGGCAUACCAAUUGCAAAAGUAGACAACCCAAGGUAUUGCAAAUAGGGUAUGUCCAGUCAUUUUUAGUAGCCACUUAGUCACAAACACUGGCCAAAUAUUAGUUUUUUGCUUUUUUCACACAAAAACAAAUAUGAACGCUAACUUUGGCCAGUGUUUGUGACUAAGUGGCUACUUAAAAAGACUAAACAUACCCCACGUUCAAUACUUUGGGUUGUCUACUUUUUCAAAUGGUAUGCCAUUAUGGGGGUAAUUCUCAUUCCUGGGCUACCACAUCGUCUCAAAGGUAACAUUACUAAUCUGGCAAAUUUCAAUUUGAAAAUGGAACGUUCUAUAUUUGACCCUGUAACUUUCCAAAACACCAUAAAACCUGUUAAUGGGGGGUACUGUUGUACUCGUGAGACAUCGCUGAUUACAAACAUGGGCAUUCUUUUGCAGUAAUACCUAACAGUAUUAUGACAUUAACAGCUAAAAUGUCAGACGUAAAUACAAAUUUUAAAAAAAAUCUUAUUUUCUCAAUUUUUUUUAUAUUUUAUUCAUAACAAAUUAUGUUCCAUAUAUGAAUAGUUAAUGAUAAAUUAAAGCCCUGUUUCUCCUGAACAAAAUGAUAUAUAAUAAGUGUGGGUGCACUUAAUGUGACAGCGGUGAAUUACGGGUGAACAGACAUAUAGCGCAAAUUCCAGUUUUUGUUUACAUUUUGUUUUGAUCAGAACGUGCACUAUUGACUCCGUCCUGAAGGGGUUAACCAAUGUUAGAAUUGGAUACAUCAUUUAUUUAUUGUGUUAUAUGUCCCACCUAAGAGUUAUUAAUUACAUCUAGGGUAAUUGUUUUUCAUUGUUUUAGCUGGUAUUUUUUAUUAAAGGUAAAUAUUUUUUAUAUUAAUUAUUUGUGGAGCGCACAUGCUAUAUAUUUUUAGUUAAUUUGACCCUAAGCAUAAGGCCAAGUUGACCCUCCACUGGUUACAGCAGAAAAAGUUGAAGGUUCUCGAGUGGCCAUCACAGUCUCCUGACCUUAAUAUCAUCGAGCCACUCUAGGUAGAUCUCAAACUUGCAGUUCAUCCAAGACGACCAAAGAUUUUGCAUGACCUAGAGAUAUUUUGCCAAGACGAAUGGGCAGCUACAUCCCCUGCAAAAAUUAGGGGCCUCAUAGACAACUAUUACAAAACACUGCACUCAUGUUUUCUUUACAAAUGGUACAUAUAUUGCCAAUUCUCCAAGGGUAUGCAAACCUUUCAGCACAGCUGGAUUUGGCUUAAUAAUUCUGUCAUAUAAUAAAGGUAGGGAUGACUUUUUCUCAUUUUUUACAAAUAUCUAAUUUAGAAAAUCUAUUUCCUUUGUAGUGUAGUGGGUUAGGAGAUGGAGAGCAGUGGAAGGAAGCUAACAGUUGAAUUGACAUGCAUUUUAGAAGUAAUUGGUUUGUUGUGAUUUUUGACAGAAUUUAGACUUGGGGAAAGUCUACUGGAGUGGGGAAGAGAAUUCCACUGGCACGGGGCAGCCCAAGAUAUGCAUUGAAGGUAAGAGUUGGAAGAUAUGGUGCUUUAUAAAAAAACAAUAAUAAGAAGAAUAAAAAUAAAAUGAUGGCACUGGCUCCAAAGCCCUUGCUAGAAGUAGUACUUUAAAAAAAAUAUAUAUAUAUAUAUAUAUAUAUAUAUAUUGUUUGAGUAAAAAAUGACAUCUCCUUUUCUUUACUAAAAUCGUGGCGAGCUUAUACAAAUAUACAACAGUAUAACAGCAUAUAGGAGUACAGAAUACAAUCAUUUUUAAAUAUUCAGUACAUUGUUUUUUUUCUCGUGUUAAUUCACUAGUCUUGGUAAGGAUGAAAAUUAUUGUGAAAAACAUGUUCCAUAGAUUUAAGAUUUUAAAGCAUUUUCGUAAAAGGAUCUUUACGAAAACUUCUUACGUUUGCAUGAUGUGUUUGUCAAUUAUCACGUUGAUUUUCAUAGAGAAUUUAUAUGUAAAAUCCAGAUUUGAAUUUGCAUGUGAUCAUCAACUAUUCAAAUACAUAUUGUUGUUUUUUUAUCAUUAGAAUAUAGCAAUGAUAUUUUAAAAUAGAAAAAGCCUAGAUAUUAUUAAUUAUAAACACUUUAGAAACAUUUAUUUUUUAUAAAUUAAAUUAAAGUGAGUACUGUUGGAGUUGGGAUGUUAUUUGUAGGAAAAAUAUGAGCUUUCUAUAUGCCAACACACCUAAGUUGCAUUUUUAAUAUAAAUGAAGGUUUAUUAUUAUGAGACAGCAAGGCUAGCACACUGGGUUACUUUAGGGGCUUUCAGAUUUCAAGUGGAAUAAUGGUACAGACAGAAUGCAACCAGUUUCUUAGAAAUGGAACAUGCAGUGGCUGUAACAUGGUUGAAAUGUAUUUUAGGGAAAAGACAUAAAAAAUUGAACAAAAGAUCACAUGACUUGAAACCACACCAUUACGUGUCUUAAUGGUGCCAUGAAAAGCAUCGCCUGAAUAGAGAAAGCUCAACAGUCUAAUCUUAAGCAUCUGUUGGCAUAUAAACAAGAAGCGUGUCUUCCUAAACAGCAGAUGUCUUCUUAUGAGUAGAAAGUCAACAGCAUGGGUGUAAGAACUGUAGGAAUGGAGAAAAGAACCCCCCUCAACCCAAAAAUCUGGUGUUCUGUUUAAAAUUACAUGGUUUCACUUUAACAGAAAGAUAAAAAAAUAAAAUAAAUAUGUUUAAGCAGUUUUUUUUUUAUCUCAUUCUCGAGUCAUAACACUGCAAUGACCUCUUUAAACGAUAUAUACACUAGCAUUUAUAGGGAAAUGUUUAUAUUUAAAAAUAUUAAAUAGGGUACAUUUCCUUUUCUUUUAAGGAGUACCACUUAAUGAUACACCCUGUGAUGUCUGACGUUGCCUUUUGUGCCAUAACCACAAGAACAAACACAGGUAUUGUGUAAAUUCUGCAUAAUAUAUUUUGAGAUUAUUUUAAAAUACUGGCCAAUGCUACCACUUGCACCUCUUAAUGGGAGUGUGAAAUGAAAACAUUUCUCCAUAUCCAUAAGUUCACAUUCACUUCCAAAUUUCAAUACUUCCAAAAACUCCCUGCUCUUACAACUCGUCAAUGCCUCUGUGAGUGUCUGUUGGGCUGUAUACAAAGUCACACCACACCACUUUGGAUUACAUCUGUAAGCAUUAAUAACCAUACUUAUGCAUCAGAACUUGUGGUUAAGAAAAGUGGAAGAAAUCCAAUAAAGAAUAACCUGGUCUGACUUCCAAUGAAGACUCACUGGUGGCUUUGCUGAACUGAAAUCGUAUGUUUUCAGUUUCCCAAUCACUGCUGCUUCGAUCACCAUAUUAUCUUUUUAAAAAUGCAUGAUAAAAUCUAGAAAUCACGGUGCAUGUACAUGCUAUCUUGCACGUCAGCUCUCAGGGUAUGUUUUGGCCUGUAGUCUGGGUAUCAAUUAGUUUAAAGUUUGUUAAUUAUCAGUUUAUUCACAGCAUCUAGCACACAGAUUAGUUACAUAUGGAUGUUCAGAGUGAUCUCCCAGAUGUCCAACUAUGGAUGUGCGCUGCUACGACCUGAACACGCUUCAAGAACUGGAAAGGGGAAGGAUUUCCAUGGCAUGCACCAAUCCAGCAUGUGCACGUAGUACUCAUCUAUGACAGCAAAGGAGGAAUUAAAAUUUCUGAUUUGAUGUUUGUAACUUAAGGGGCAGUUUUAUAGUUGAAGCAGUUUUUGAAAAUAUUUUAUGUUUCUGCAUCCAUGUGUUAUGCAUGUCUUUCAUCAGAAUACCAAAAAAUAUAUCAGAAUGGUCAGACCCAGGCUUCACAAACAGAACAUCUAUAUACCCAAAAUAGCAGAAACAGACAUGAUCUCUCACCUCUCCCAACUCAACUCCAUACCGCCUUUACAUAAGGACAGGAUUAGUAUUACUUUACCCCAAGGAUCAAUAUUUUUUUUUCACUUGGGACACAUUUCUAGAACUUUGCUCUUUUUUUCUUUGUUUU
This is a non-coding RNA of Pelobates cultripes (western spadefoot toad), 20511 nucleotides long. The record is from the annotation of a GenBank genome assembly. Lineage: Eukaryota; Metazoa; Chordata; Amphibia; Anura; Pelobatidae.